Sciurus carolinensis (gray squirrel) is the source of this 1137-nucleotide long non-coding RNA. RefSeq lists it as uncharacterized. NCBI's taxonomy places the organism in Eukaryota, Metazoa, Chordata, Mammalia, Rodentia, Sciuridae. The transcript is spliced from 3 exons. The record is from RefSeq and is a predicted model, not a curated record.
GUUUCGUCGCUUCCGCGGAACGCCGGGAAGGGGUCACUUCUAGACGGAGGUUCCGGUUCCGAAGUCGGCGGCAGUGGGUUUCCAUGGCGACGCGGCGGGCAGUGGGGCGAGGGAGGAAUCGGGAGAGGCGGAGGCACUGCGGCUGGCGGGCGCCUCUCUCUCCAGCCCCAGUGAGUGUCCCGGGUGCCCCAGGAAGGCCGCGGCGGGUGCUGCGGGGCUCCGGCCUCAGGCCUGCCCGGGUUCCCGCGGCGGAGCCGGGUGUGCGGGACCUUUCCUCGCACCGCCGCGCACGUGGGCUGCGGCCCGGGCCUCGCGGGGCCCCGGCGCGCGCUGAUUGCUUUGGAACAACUUCUGCUUGUAAAAUGUGUCCAGUGCUUUCACCUGCGUGGCCCCUGCAGUUGGGCUUCGACGGUCUUCCCGCCCAUCUGAGUAGGCGAUCCUGCCUGGGCUGGGACGGCUUGUUGAACGGAGAACUCAGAAAUGAAUGAGUUGCCCCGCGCGAUGGUGGCGCGCUCCAGCGGUCCCCGCGCGCGGGAGGCCUAGGAGGGGAUCGGGUGAACCCAGGAGUUCAAGACCCGGCUGGGCAGCAUUGCGAGACCCCGACCAGCAAAGGAAAAAUCCAUUGACUCCAGAGAAAUCAGAGAAACAAGCAUCAUGAGAAGAAAUAUAUAGAAAAUGCUGUUACGUUGGGGUGACUGUUGUUUCAGAAGUUAGAAGGUGCCCUUAACAAUAGAGAAUGUAUUAAUUUCCUUCCAGAAUCAUCUUUUAUUCAUGCUUAUAUUGGACAAAUAGUUCCUGUAACUCAAAUUAUUAUACUCCAAAGACUUGUGACAAGGUGCCUAGACCACAGUAAGAGAAGCCGGAGUUGGCACUGUGUGCAGCGUGCUGGGAAGUGGAUCCCUUAGCAGAGCCCCCCAUCCUCCAUAAGCACUGAGCCUGCAGCCCCAGGAGUGCCCAUGAAGCUUGUUUUCUUCUGAACGAUCAUUUCAAUGUGUUGCCAAGGUCAUGAACACUCUUCAUAAUGAGUCGGAAUUUUACUUUGUACUUCUACCUAUGAGCCUGAAUAAUCUUGUGACUUCUCUUGGCAAUCCUACGUAUGUUGCACAUUUCCUGGGCCUCUGUAAAUUAAAUCUUGCA